AGUGAACGCUGGCGGUAGGCCUAACACAUGCAAGUCGAACGGCAGCACAGUAAGAGCUUGCUCUUACGGGUGGCGAGUGGCGGACGGGUGAGGAAUACAUCGGAAUCUACUUUUUCGUGGGGGAUAACGUAGGGAAACUUACGCUAAUACCGCAUACGUCCUACGGGUGAAAGCAGGGGAACUUCGGACCUUGCGCGAUUGAAUGAGCCGAUGUCGGAUUAGCUAGUUGGCGGGGUAAAGGCCCACCAAGGCAACGAUCCGUAGCUGGUCUGAGAGGAUGAUCAGCCACACUGGAACUGAGACACGGUCCAGACUCCUACGGGAGGCAGCAGUGGGGAAUAUUGGACAAUGGGCGCAAGCCUGAUCCAGCCAUACCGCGUGAGUGAAGAAGGUCUUCGGGUUGUAAAACCCUUUUAUUGGGGAAGAAAAGCAGCAGGUUUAUACCCCGCUGUUCUGACGGUACCCAAAGAAUAAGCACCGGCUAACUUCGUG
This 492-nucleotide ribosomal RNA is filed under the name uncultured bacterium. RNAcentral's name for it is "partial 16S ribosomal RNA". It matches the Rfam family "Bacterial small subunit ribosomal RNA", at positions 29 to 507 of the family's 1533-position model. The record is from RNAcentral.